CCCUUAGAUGUCCUGGGCCGCACGCGCGCUACAAUGAUAAAUUCAGAAUGUUUUUCCUGCCCUGGAAAGGUGUGGGUAAUCAUUAUAGUAUUUAUCGUGUUAGGGAUCGAUCUUUGCAAUUAUAGAUCUUGAACGAGAAAUGCCUAGUAAGUGCAGCUCAUCAGGCUGUACUGAUUACGUCCCUGCCCUUUGUACACACCGCCCGUCGCUCCUACCGAUUUCGAGUGUUCAGGUGAAUCUUCUGGACUGAGUCGCAAGACCCGGGAAGUUAGAUAAAUCUUAACACUUAGAGGAAGGAGAAGUCGUAACA
Molecule: ribosomal RNA, 310 nt
Filed under: uncultured eukaryote
Lineage: Eukaryota
Description: partial 18S ribosomal RNA
Rfam family: Eukaryotic small subunit ribosomal RNA
Source: RNAcentral